Molecule: long non-coding RNA, 181 nt
Organism: Corapipo altera (White-ruffed manakin)
Lineage: Eukaryota; Metazoa; Chordata; Aves; Passeriformes; Pipridae
Exons: 3
Source: RefSeq, a predicted model, not a curated record
CUGGGCUGGAGGUGUAUUCUGUAUUACUUGAACACAGUAAUGAAACGAGCACUCCUGUAUCAUUAAAAGAACUAGGGAAUUGAGAAUGGCCUUGUGCCAGGAGCAUAUUGAAUAUCAAGACAAAAGUAUGACUGAGGAAUGAAAAAGAACUAAAGGAUGGACAGGUAGAAGGUCAAAUAGG